GUCUAUGGCCAUGCCAUUCUGAAUGUGCUCAAUCUUAUCUGAUGUAGGAAGCUAAGCAGGGUAAGGCCUGGUUAGUACUUGGUGUGGGAGACCACCUGGUAGUACUGGGUGCUAUAGGCU
Aotus nancymaae (Ma's night monkey) is the source of this 120-nucleotide ribosomal RNA. The record is from Ensembl. NCBI's taxonomy places the organism in Eukaryota, Metazoa, Chordata, Mammalia, Primates, Aotidae.